This 268-nucleotide long non-coding RNA is filed under the name Elaeis guineensis (African oil palm). RNAcentral's name for it is "long non-coding RNA (EGUI_LNC004857)". The record is from RNAcentral. Lineage: Eukaryota; Viridiplantae; Streptophyta; Magnoliopsida; Arecales; Arecaceae.
UCCAUUGCCAACCCGUAGGAUCAUGUCACCUUCUCUCAACCUCCUAUUUUCUAUUAGAUCCUGUAUUGAGGUACAUAUAUGAGCACUCGAGCCAAAGUCUAAUAUCCAAAUAGAAGUAAAAGAAACCAUAAGGUUAGAUUUAAUUAUGAGCAUACCUUCCGAAGAUUUAUCAUCCCUUUUGAUCUUUAGGCUCUUCAGGUAAAAUAGACAGUUCGUCCUUCAAUGGCCUUCAGCAUCACAAUGAAAAUACUUUUCCUUUGCUUCGGCC